RNAcentral lists this ribosomal RNA (292 nucleotides) under Ophionereis schayeri lineage B KMN-2013. RNAcentral's name for it is "partial large subunit ribosomal RNA". It matches the Rfam family "Bacterial large subunit ribosomal RNA", at positions 1966 to 2487 of the family's 2925-position model. Lineage: Eukaryota; Metazoa; Echinodermata; Ophiuroidea; Amphilepidida; Ophionereidae. The record is from RNAcentral.
CAUUAGCCUAUUAAUUGUAGGCUGGCAUCAACGGUUAGACGACAAAAAAUCUGUCUUUUUCUUUAUAACCUUAACUUGACAUUUAAGUGAAGAGGCUUAAAUCAGGCAGCGGGACGAGAAGACCCUAUUGAGCUUUAGGGCUGCUAUUUUUGUUUUUAAGAUAGAGUUUUUGGGUUGGGGCAACCAUUUCUACAGUUUAACAGAAAUAAAAGUAAAGUUGAAUCAAAUCUUUCUUAGACCCGGAAAUAUUCCGGAAAUUGGAAAAAGUUACCUUAGGGAUAACAGCGUAAUU